Molecule: long non-coding RNA, 356 nt
Filed under: Monodelphis domestica (gray short-tailed opossum)
Lineage: Eukaryota; Metazoa; Chordata; Mammalia; Didelphimorphia; Didelphidae
Description: lncRNA (ENSMODG00000030734.2)
Source: RNAcentral
CCACUCCAAGACAAUGCAUAGGAGAAAUCCGGGUGACAGGGCAGGGGGAGCUGGGCAGCCCCGGGGAUUGCACCCCCUCACUUGGGCUGAAAAACAUGGCCCAUUGCCAUUUUGGCCCAUGGCUGGUCUUUCCAGUUCAAUACUACCCAAUCUCAGGCUCUUAAGAAGAUGUGAAUGGGCUCGGCACACAGUUGGGCCUCAGACUUAGUUGCACAGGGACCAGAACCGGACCCAGGAUUUCCCUGACACAGAGAACUCCUAGAACAGAGGUGUCAGUCAUGCAGCCCAAGUGAAGAUACAGCCCACAACAUUCCCAAGAAAAUGUAAUCGAGAAAUAAAAAAAUACAAGACAGAUA